This 233-nucleotide ribosomal RNA is filed under the name uncultured bacterium. RNAcentral's name for it is "partial 16S ribosomal RNA". It matches the Rfam family "Bacterial small subunit ribosomal RNA", at positions 118 to 351 of the family's 1533-position model. The record is from RNAcentral.
UGAGCAAUCUGCCCUUCUCAUCGGAAUAAGCGUUGGAAACGACGUCUAAUGCCGAAUACGACCUCCUUUCGCAUGAUCGGAGGUGGAAAGCUCCGGCGGAGAAGGAUGAGCUCGCGGCCUAUCAGCUAGUUGGUGUGGGUAAUGGCCCACCAAGGCGACGACGGGUAGCCGGCCUGAGAGGGUGACCGGCCACACUGGGGCUGAGACACGGCCCAGACUCCUACGGGAANCAG